AACCUACAAUUCGUAUCUUUAAUAGAUUUGACAUUAUAGAAAUGGAAAGGCCAGAGCCCCGGCAAUUAUGUCAGGAAUACUAAUAACACUAAUGAUAUCAAUCAUACAAGUUGAAGUGGAGAGGAAGGUUUUAAAAAUUCCAUCUCUUCUCCAAGUGAUAGGGUACUUCUUGCUGCACAAUGUAAUUUGGUGGCUGCAACAGUCCAAAAUGUUUUUAAAGAGCUCAGAAACAUCUCAAAUAAUGUAAACAGCCUGCUAUCUGUGAUAGCUCUGCAUUCUCUUCCCAAGCCAAUUACUGAGAAGUGGGACGGUAUUGAAACAUCAUAUAAUAAUGCAGUUGGUCAACCUUUCCAACUCUCCAUAGUCAAUAAUUCUUCAAUGGAUCCAAUCCUACUUCUCCAGGCUAACAAGACGCAUGAAAUUAUAGCACCAACCACUGCCAGGCAACUCUGUUCAGAAUGCUAAUCUCCACAGCUGGCCAGUGCGAGGGUUCAUGUGUGUUGACAGAGGAACCUAAUGGCUUGUGUGCGUGCAAAGCAGGAAUCAGUAGCCUUGCCUUAGGCCCCCAGAUGUUAAGCGAACCUGCAAGGAUGGCUUUGCAACAGUGUGAAGCUGGGGUGUGAUAUGACAGAGGGAGACUGGAAUGGAGUAUCUUGAAAUAAGGCAUUGAACUAGCUUGCAGACAUACCAAAUGGAAGCACCUCAUCUGGCAACAGUAUGUUUCUGUACCACCUUUCUGUUUUAUAAAUUAUUUGUAAAUAUUAUGUGCAACAAAAUGAGUCAUAUACUAACAGCAUUGCAAAUCUAUCCUGAAGGGUUGCUAAACCUUUGGGUGUAGCUGUGUUGGAAUGAAAAACUGUUAAAAUACAAGGUAAAAGUUACAAAAAAAAAAUUAUGUGACUUGCUUUAUGACACUAUUUGAGCCAGCGCCCUCUGCUGUCAUCUGACACAUUAUACCUGUCUCAUACAAAGGUGUCCUAGUAAUUAGAAUGCAGGAAAUUGUUUUUCCCAUGAGUGAAGUCUCUCAACAAAAUCACGGCUUGUUGGCUGUAUUCUCAUGCAUUUCAGCUUCUCCUCUACAGUACGGUAUUGAAAGUUGUGGAAGCUUUGCAGCCGCUUUGCAAACCCUUUUUAAAAUGCUAAUAAACACAUCUAUCUCCUUUU
This is a long non-coding RNA of Podarcis raffonei (Aeolian wall lizard), 1164 nucleotides long. RefSeq lists it as uncharacterized. The record is from RefSeq and is a predicted model, not a curated record. The transcript has 3 exons. NCBI's taxonomy places the organism in Eukaryota, Metazoa, Chordata, Lepidosauria, Squamata, Lacertidae.